This 253-nucleotide ribosomal RNA is filed under the name uncultured microorganism. Its description in RNAcentral is "partial 16S ribosomal RNA". It matches the Rfam family "Bacterial small subunit ribosomal RNA", at positions 524 to 776 of the family's 1533-position model. The record is from RNAcentral.
UACGGAGGGGGCAAGCGUUGUUCGGAGUUACUGGGCGUAAAGCGUGCGCAGGCGGCCCGUUAAGACAGGUGUGAAAUCCCUGGGCUCAACCUAGGAAUUGCGCUUGUGACUGGCGGGCUCGAGUACGGUAGAGGGGGGUGGAAUUCCUGGUGUAGCAGUGAAAUGCGUAGAGAUCAGGAGGAACACCGAUGGCGAAGGCAGCCCCCUGGGCCUGUACUGACACUGAGGCUCGAAAGCGUGGGUAGCAAACAGG